Octodon degus (degu) is the source of this 571-nucleotide long non-coding RNA. RefSeq lists it as uncharacterized. The transcript is spliced from 4 exons. The record is from RefSeq and is a predicted model, not a curated record. Lineage: Eukaryota; Metazoa; Chordata; Mammalia; Rodentia; Octodontidae.
AGCAUCCGUGACUGCCAGCCCAAGGAGGUGGGUAGAUCAUUGGCCUGGCACUGUCUCACCCUGACACACACCAGUGGGCACAGAAGCCUGGACUUUUCCUGUGGCUGCAGACUCAGUCCCACUUUCCUCCUGGGUACCGGCAUCUGUAGCUGCAGCUUUGCACACUCUGUUCCCUUUCCUUGAAUUGCCCUUCCCAGCCCUUCAGCGGUGUGGACACCAGCUGGUCUCCUGUACAAGACAGAGGGCCCUUCCAGGGCGGGACUUGAGGACCCAGUCAUGCCUUGGCCUUCAUCUUGCCUGGCAGCUCCUGAUUAGCUUGGGGAAUUCAGACAAGGACUGGAGUUUGCGUCAGAUGUAGGGUAGAUGAGCAGCGCAUGACCUGAGAAAGACUGAACCAGCUCAGGUGACCCUGAGGGAGUGCGGAGCUGAUGGGCUCUUCCACUAAAGAGGCUGCCAAACAGACUCAGGAGAAGCUUUGUGGGCCUGAGAGUCUGAAAUGAGACUGAAGUCAACAAAGGGUAACAGAAACUACAGGAAGCGAACCUGUAGACAAGGAGGAAUUGUUGCAGGU